CCUACGGGUGGCAGCAGUCGAGAAUCAUUCACAAUGGGGGAAACCCUGAUGGUGCGACGCCGCGUGGGGGAAUGAAGGUCUUCGGAUUGUAAACCCCUGUCAUGUGGGAGCAAAUUAAAAAGAUAGUACCACAAGAGGAAGAGACGGCUAACUCUGUGCCAGCAGCCGCGGUAAUACAGAGGUCUCAAGCGUUGUUCGGAAUCACUGGGCGUAAAGCGUGCGUAGGCUGUUUCGUAAGUCGUGUGUGAAAGGCGCGGGCUCAACCCGCGGACGGCACAUGAUACUGCGAGACUAGAGUAAGGGAGGGGGAACCGGAAUUCUCGGUGUAGCAGUGAAAUGCGUAGAUAUCGAGAGGAACACUCGUGGCGAAGGCGGGUUCCUGGACAGUAACUGACGCUGAGGCACGAAGGCCAGGGGAGCGAAAGGGAUUAGAUACCCUAGUAGUC
RNAcentral lists this ribosomal RNA (446 nucleotides) under uncultured bacterium. Its description in RNAcentral is "partial 16S ribosomal RNA". It matches the Rfam family "Bacterial small subunit ribosomal RNA", at positions 338 to 795 of the family's 1533-position model. The record is from RNAcentral.